UGAGGAAUAUUGCGCAAUGGGGGCAACCCUGACGCAGCGACGCCGCGUGAGUGAGGAAGGCCUUCGGGUCGUAAAGCUCUGUCAAGAGGGAAGAAGUGCAUGGUGGUUAAUAUCUGUCAUGUUUGACGGUACCCCUAAAGGAAGCACCGGCUAACUCCGUGCCAGCAGCCGCGGUAAUACGGAGGGUGCAAGCGUUGUUCGGAAUCACUGGGCGUAUAGGGCGCGCAGGCGGCCUGAUCAGUCAGAUGUGAAAGCCCACGGCUUAACUGUGGAAGUGCAUUUGAAACUGUCAGGCUUGGGUACCAGAGGGGAAAGUGGAAUUCCCGGUGUAGAGGUGAAAUUCGUAGAUAUCGGGAGGAAUACCGGUGGCGAAAGCGGCCUCCUGGCUCAUAACUGACGCUCAGACGCGAAAGCUAGGGUAGCAAACG
Molecule: ribosomal RNA, 428 nt
Filed under: uncultured prokaryote
Description: bacterial SSU rRNA
Rfam family: Bacterial small subunit ribosomal RNA
Source: RNAcentral